GAUGAACGCUAGCGGGAGGCCUAAUACAUGCAAGUCGAACGGCAGCAUUUCGGAUGGCGAGUGGCGCACGGGUGAGUAACGCGUACAGACCUGCCUUGUACUGGAGGAUAGCCCUGGGAAACUGGGAGUAAUACUCCAUGGUAUCGUAAGAUUAAAGCUCCGGCGGUACAAGAUGGCUGUGCGUCUGAUUAGCUAGUUGGUGAGAUAGAGGCUCACCAAGGCGACGAUCAGUAGGGGGCGUGAGAGCGUGACCCCCCACACGGGUACUGAGACACGGACCCGACUCCUACGGGAGGCAGCAGUAAGGAAUAUUGGUCAAUGGAGGCAACUCUGAACCAGCCAUCCCGCGUGCAGGAUGACGGCCCUACGGGUUGUAAACUGCUUUUAUUAGGGAAGAAAAAUACGUUUUAGCGUACCUGACGGUACCUAAUGAAUAAGCACCGGCUAACUCCG
This 453-nucleotide ribosomal RNA is filed under the name uncultured Saprospiraceae bacterium. RNAcentral describes it as "bacterial SSU rRNA". It matches the Rfam family "Bacterial small subunit ribosomal RNA", at positions 28 to 505 of the family's 1533-position model. The record is from RNAcentral. Lineage: Bacteria; Pseudomonadati; Bacteroidota; Saprospiria; Saprospirales; Saprospiraceae.